This is a non-coding RNA of Aedes albopictus (Asian tiger mosquito), 72 nucleotides long. Lineage: Eukaryota; Metazoa; Arthropoda; Insecta; Diptera; Culicidae. The record is from Rfam.
GGAUCAGUAACUUAGUUGGUAAAGCACUCGUCUAGCGUGCAAGGGUCGUGAGUUCAAACCUUACCUGAGCCG